UCUAAGAUAAGCCAACUAUUGGAAAAGUUCUAAAAUAGAAAUUGCUAUACAUUGGCCAACUUUACAACUCUAAAAAUAAUGUAUCGAUUUUACAAUGAAAUAUUGUUUUCUACUGCUCGUUGUCUGCAUCCCGUAUCGUUCGAUUCAGCAUUUUGUCUGGCCACUACAUUGGUGUCUCCUGGCAGACAUCUGCAACCACACCUGGAUCCCGGAAUGCGGCUCCGACAGUCCGGACAACAUCUUCAGGAGAUGACUCUUCGUCGACGAGUGUGACAUGUAUGAGUUCAACUGCGACAAUGUUAGAGACUACGUCAUGAUAAACUACUCGGACUGUUUUAACAUUCCUCCCUCCACAAGCGAAUGCCCACCUGUUGAGUGUCCAAAAUGCCCUGAACGGCGAAGACAUAAGCCCUUUACCACCACCUUUAGAACCCCAGGAGUGAACCUUCCAAAGCACAUGAUGAAAGGAUUAAGAAGAUACACACCACAACCCAGAAACAGAAGAAACAAAGAAUCUUCAGCUACUAUGCGAACUGUUAUACUCAAAAAGGAAGAGAUAGAAGUUAAUGGGAAAAAGGUUAUGAAGAUAGUAAAGGGGUUUAUCGAAAGACGAAAAGCGAAAGGCAAAGUUUCGAAAGAUUCUGAUUUCAUUGAGAAUUAAACAUUUGUUUUUUUAA
Aricia agestis (brown argus) is the source of this 677-nucleotide long non-coding RNA. RefSeq lists it as uncharacterized. Lineage: Eukaryota; Metazoa; Arthropoda; Insecta; Lepidoptera; Lycaenidae. The record is from RefSeq and is a predicted model, not a curated record. The transcript is spliced from 4 exons.